AUGAAGAUGGAGGUAUAGGAUAAACUAUCAACAUGAAUAAAAAGUAUUAUAUGGAUUUAGCAAUGACCUUAAGACAGGAGGUACAAAAGGGUUUGUUUGUUUUUGUACCAUAUAGCUUGCAAAGCCUGGUAUACUUGGUGUCAUUUUAUGGUAGCUUGUGAUUUAAUUACAUAUCAACUGCAUAGAGAUCAAGGGACAUCUAUAGAAUAAAANNNNCAUAGUGUCUUGAUCUUUUUGGUUCCAACAUAUGCAAUGGCCUCACAAGCUUGGUUUCCCCCAAAAAUUGCUUCUUCCCACAUGGAUGAUAAUCCCCUAUAGUGGCAUUGUGAUGUCCCUUUGAUCCAUAUAGAUGCUAAUCCUUUAACAGAAAGACCUGUCACGUCUUGAAGGACUGUAAGUUGAAUCUUCUGUUUGCCUAGCUUUAUAGUGAUUUUUUUCUCUUCCUUUGCUGUUCCUCCCAUAUUCCUUUUCUCCUCCCUCAUAUUUUGAGAG
This 492-nucleotide unclassified non-coding RNA is filed under the name Hevea brasiliensis (rubber tree). The record is from RNAcentral. Lineage: Eukaryota; Viridiplantae; Streptophyta; Magnoliopsida; Malpighiales; Euphorbiaceae.